This 32-nucleotide non-coding RNA is filed under the name Mus musculus (house mouse). Lineage: Eukaryota; Metazoa; Chordata; Mammalia; Rodentia; Muridae. The record is from RNAcentral.
UAUACAAAAGAGAAAAAACAAACCCUCUGUGU